Xyrichtys novacula (pearly razorfish) is the source of this 12521-nucleotide non-coding RNA. The record is from the annotation of a GenBank genome assembly. Lineage: Eukaryota; Metazoa; Chordata; Actinopteri; Labriformes; Labridae.
UUUGUUUCUUUCUUUCUUCUUUUUCCUCCCCUUUGAACUGGAAAAUGGCCCACUUCCCACUGGCGAAAACUCAUGAAAUUUGGCAGGAUGACCGGGCCUGGUGAAAAAUUUGAUAUUCCGAAGUCGCCCAAACAAUAAAAUGCAAAAUGGCUCCAUAGCGCCCCCUAAGGUGAAAAUUCACACUAUUGACUGUCACGCCUUUACGCUUUGUCAUAUUGACACAAAAAUUGACACACAUAUGUAUCUUAAUAAGAUCUACAAAAAAGUCAGUGCGGCCGUAUCUGUCAAAUGUAUGGUUAAAGGGUUAUUGCGCAUUUUUUGCCGACCCGCACACAUUGGAAUUUCGCUAACUCCUCCGAAGGCUUUCGUUCCACCGGCACCACAUUUGCUCAGGCCAAUCUACACCCCGUGGCCAUUAAAAGUUAUCAAAAUCAUGACGCUGCACCCCAAGGUUUAGGUUCUAGGGGGCGCCAAAGAUAACACUAAAAUCCACAUAUUUAAAAGUCUUAUAACUUUUUAUUUUUCUCCUCACUGGCCUCCAAGUUUUCUAGGAUGAUGCAAUGUCCAGCCAUCAACACAUUUGUGAAGGAAUUUUUACUCCCCAAAAGAGCGCCCCCCCAUGGCAGAAGAAAAAAGUCCAUUUUUUCUUGUCCCCUAAGGUGAAAAUACACAUUGUUGAGUGUCACGCCUAUACGCUUUGUCAAAAUGACACAAAAAUUGACACACACAUGUAACUCAAUAAGAUCUACGAAAAAGUCAAUGCGCGCGUAUCUGUCAAAUGUACGGUUAAAGGGUUAUUCCGCAUUUUUUGCCGAUCCGCACACAUUGGAAUGUGGCUAACUCCUCCUAAGGCUUUCGUUCCACCGGCACCACAUUUGCUCAGGCCAAUCUACACCCCAUGGCCAUUAAAAGUUAUUCAAAUCAUGACGCUGCACCCCACGGUUUAGGUUCUAGGGGGCGCCAAAGAUAACACUAAAAUCCACAUAUUUCAAAGUCUUAUAACUUUUUAUUUUUGUCCUCACUGGCCUCCAAGUUUUCUAGGAUGAUGCAAUGUCCAGCCAUCAACACGUUUGUGAAGGAAUUUUUACUCCCCAAAAGAGCGCCCCCCCAUGGCAGGAGAAAAAAGUCCAUUUUUUCUUGUCCCCUAAGGUGAAAAUACACAUUGUUGAGUGUCACGCCUGUACGCUUUGUCAAAAUGACACAAAAAUUGACAAUCAUGUGUAUCUCAAUUAGAUCUACAAAAACUCAAUGGGCGCGUAUCUGUCAAAUGUACGGUUAAAGGGUUAUUCCGCAUUUUUUGCCGAUUCGCACACAUUGGAAUUUCGCUAACUCCUCCGAAGGCUUUCGUUCCACCGGCACCACAUUUGCUCAGGCCAAAUUACACCCCAUGGCCAUUAAAAGUUAUUCAAAUCAUGACGCUGCACCCCACGGUUUACGUUCUAGGGGGCGCCAAAGAUAACCCAAAAAUCCAAAUUUUUAAAAGUCUUAUAACUUUUUAUUUUUGUCCUCACUGGCCUCCAAGUUUUCUAGGAUGAUGCAAUGUCCAGCCAUCAACACAUUUGUGAAGGAAUUUUUACUCCCUAAAAGAGCGCCCCCCCAUGGCAGGAGAAAAAAGUCCAUUUUUUCUUGUCCCCUAAGGUGAAAAUACACAUUGUUGACUGUCACGCCUGUACGCUUUGGCAAAAUGACACAAAAAUUGACAAUCAUGUGUAUCUCAAUUAGAUCUACGAAAAAGUCAAUGGGUGCGUAUCUGUCAAAUGUAUGGUUAGAGGGCUAUUUUGCAUUUUUUGCCGAUUCGCACACAUUGGAAUGUGGCUAACUCCUCCUAAGGCUUUCGUCCCACUGACACCAAAUUUGCUCAGGCCAAUCUACACUCCAUGGCCAUUCAAAGUUGUAAAAAUCAUGACGCGGCACCCCACGGUUUACGUUUUAGGGGGCGCCAAAGAUGACCCAAAUAUACAUUACAGUAGACAAAGUAGUUUUGCCCACUGAGUGGCGCCAAAGGGACUUGUCUGUGGAGUUUGUGAGUCACUAUUGGCCGUUUUUGACUACUUUAGAUUUUACCUUUAUAUUUCCUCUUACAAAAUUUUUACCUUGCCUUGCCUGGUAUCAUUUUUUUCAGCACAACCUCACCUGUGUCAAUUUACAGUUAUUUUAUCAUUUUGACAUACUAUAUUUACACAUUGGACCCAAAUUCACACACAAAACAUAAAAUCCGAGUGCAAAAAAGUAACGUUUUUACUGUGAAAACCACAAAUAUGUGUGAUGAACUGUUUUUAAAACUUAAACUUCAAAUAAAAAUUGUAAACUUCAAAACAUAUGCAAAUUUUUAACAAAGAACAUAGUAAUUUACCUCUAUUUACAUCAAAAUGCAGGCAAUGGCCCAGGUGUUCUUUGUAAAAUUAUUUACAAAACACUGUAUAGUCUCACAAAUGUCACUUUUUAUUUAUGCCACUACAAAAAAACAUGAUGUAAAUGAUGCAUGAUGUAAAACAUGAUGUAAAAAACUUGUGUAGAUCCUCCUCUAUGUCAGUCCAUGUGUAAUUUUUCCAUAAUUCUUUGUUUUUUGCAGCAUUUUUGUUAGUGUAACUGCAGAUUGUGCUGACAGUGUCUAUGGCAAAAAAAAAAAAAAAACUGAAAAUGCCUCAACAUGAACCCCUGGUGGUCUCUGAGGGUGAAACCUGCUAACUGCUGCAGCUCUGUCAGCUUCAGUCUCCCAUGCAGAGCUCGGAGCGCAUGUGUGGCUCUGCACCCUUAGCAGCGUUGCUAACUCCUCAGUAAGGAAAGCCUGCUUCAUGUCAGAGUCUCUAAACUCCAGAAGAAGUCGAUAAAAGUCACUUUCUUUCUAAAAAAACGUCGUUAGGGGGUCUGAAAAGUCAUUGAAUCUAACAACAAAGUCGCUAGGUUUGCAACUACGUGUCCCAGACUGCAUCCCUGCUGAGAGUCCCUCCCUCCCUUCUCAUAUUGCAGGAAGAACGUAAGCGCCCGCCCCUUGUCAAUCAGUCACCAUAUAAUUUUGGAUUGGUUGUUGUGGUGAAGUUUUCCACCAAUAGGAGAGAUGUUGUGGUGUGUUUUUUUUUUCCUUUGGCAAGCCUUUUCCGCCUGUAAGACCUGUCGCUAAUGUCUGCAUGCUAUGUUUUCCUGUCUCAUACAGCGCGAUCGAGCGCCGAACGUGAUCAAAAUAAGCAGAAAACAAGUAUCGCGGACAUAAUUUAUCAUAACUCUGGUUUUAUUUGGCCUAUCAACACAAUUUAAAAACUGGUAUAUAGGUUGAGGUCCUCACUUUUGAGAUAAGUUGAAAUGGAGAGUCAACGAGGCUCCGUCUUGCAGCUACAUCCGGUUAAAUAUGUCAUGUGACUUGAACGCACACACACACACACACACACACACACACACACACACACACACACACACACACAGACACACACACACACGCACACACACACACUCAGAGUCUGGUUUUUAGCACCUGCAAAAACAUGCUAUUUACAUAUUUGACAAGAAUGCAGAGGCUCCUUUUGCCCCUGAAAAAAAUCAAAUUUCAAACACAACUUGACUGGUCAUUUCUCCAAAAGACAACCAUGAAGCUCCAUCCAAACCUGAAGCAGGCAGUUGAUGCAUGUGUACAGUAACCUGAGGGGAGUGAGGUGACUGCUUCUGAGGAGAACAUGAGCAGUGAAGAUUCACCUUAGAGCUAGAACAGAGACGUGCACAUGAUUAUACAGGGGCAGGGGCUCAAGUUUUUACCAGUUGUUUAUACAAUAUGGAAAUUAAUGUGAAAUUAAAACACAAAGUAUUAAUAGAAAGGUAAUGACUGUCCUGUGUAGGUGACAUUGAUAUCCAAUAGGCUAGGCACUCACGAGGCUGGCUGUGGCAAGUGUAAGUGAAAGCAACACGCACUGGCAGGAAGAACAGCAAACGCCGAUGAAGGAAAAGGGUCUUUGCAGUGAUGGGCGUUACCAGAGAGGGCGAUGGCCAGAGGACACAAAUGGGACGGGGAGGCAGCGCGUUGGGGGGGGGACGCGACACAGCUCGGGCCCGCCAGUGCCCCAACGGGGUCCUAGUGUUAUUAUUAGGGCCCGAGCGUAGCUGCUAAGCAGCUGCGAGAGCCCUCUUGUUCCUGCAUGUUUCCUUCUUUUGUUAGGGCCCGAGCGUAGCUGCUAAGCAGCUGCGAGAGCCCUCUUGUUCCUGUAGUUUCCUUCUUUAGGGCCCGAGCGUAGCUGCUAAGCAGCUGCGAGAGCCCUCUUGUUCCUGAUGGAUUCUUCUUUUGUUAUUAUUAUUAUUUUUCCUCCGCUUUAAACUGGAAAAUGGCCGACUUCCCACUGGCGAAAACUCAUGAAAUUUGGCAGGACGACCGGGCCUGGUGAAAAAUUCGAUAUUCUGAAGUCGCCCAAACAAUAAAAUGCAAAAUGGCUCCAUAGCGCCCCCUAAGGCGAAAAUUCACACUAUUGACUGUCACGCCUGUACGCUUUGUCAUAUUGACACAAAAAUUGACACACACGUGUAUCUCAAUACGUUCUACGAAAAAGUCAGCGCGGGCGCAUCUGUGAAAUGUACAGUUAGAGGGUUAUUUCGCAUUUUUUGCCGAUCUGCACACAUUGGAAUUUCGCUAACUCCUCCGAAGGCAUUCGUUCCACCGGCACCACAUUUGCUCAGGCCAAUCUACACCCCAUGGCCAUUAAAAGUUGUACAAAUCAUGACGCUGCACCCCACAGUUUACGUUCUAGGGGGCGCCAAAGAUAACCCAAAAAUCCACAGUCUUAAAAGUCUUAUAACUUUUUAUUUUUGUCCUCACUGGCCUCCAAGUUCUCUAGGAUGAUGCAAUGUCCAGCCAUCAACACAUUUGUGAAGGAAUUUUUACUCCCCAAAAGAGCGCCCCCACAUGGCAGGAGAAAAAAGUCCAUUUUUUCUUGUCCCCUAAGGUGAAAAUACACAUUGUUGAGUGUCACGCCUAUACGCUUUGUCAUAUUGACCCAAAAUUUGACAAUCACGUGUAUCUCAAUAAGAUCUACGAAAAAGUCAAUGGGCACGUAUCUGUAAAAUGUAUGGUUAAAGGGCUAUUUCGCAUUUUUUGCAGAUUCGCACACAUUGGAAUGUGGCUAACUCCUCCUAAGGCUUUCUUCCCACCGACACCAAAUUUGCUCAAGCCGAUCUACAUCCCAUGGCCAUUCAAAGUUGUAAAAAUCAUGCCGCUGCACCCCAUGGUUUACGUUCUAGGGGGCGCCAAAGAUGACCCAAAUAUCCACAUUCUUAAAAGUCGUUUUGGCCACUGCAGGAGUACAGAGUACUGCAGGAUACACACACACAGACACACACAAACACAGACACACACACACACACACACACACACACACACACACACACACACACACACACACACACACACACACACUCAGAGUCUGUUUUUUAGCACCUGCAAAAACAUGCUAUUUACAUAUUUGACAACAAUGCAGAGGCUCCUUUUGCCCCUGAAAAAAAUCAAAUUUCAAACACAACUUGACUGGUCAUUUCUCCAAAAGACAACCAUGAAGCUCCAUCCAAACCUGAAGCAGGCAGUUGGUGCAUGUGUACAGUUACCUGAGGGGAGUGAGGUGAGUGCUUCUGAGGAGAACAUGAGCAGUGAAGAUUCACCUUGGAGCGAGAACAGGGACGUGCACAUGAUUAUACAGGGGCAGGGGCUCAAGUUUUUUCCAGUCGUUUAUACAAUAUGGAAAUUAAUGUGAAAUUAAAAAACAAAGUAUUAAUAGAAAGGUAAUGACUGUCCUGUGUAGGUGACAGUGAUAUCCAAUAGGCUAGGCACUCACGAGGCUGGCUGUGGCAAGUGUAAGUGAAAGCAACACGCACUGGCAGGAAGAACAGCAAACGCCGAUGAAGGAAAAGGGUCUUUGCAGUGAUGGGCGUUACCAGAGAGGACGAUGGCCAGAGGACGCGAAUGGGACGGGGAGGCAGCGCAUUGGGGGGGGGGGGGCCGCGACACAGCUCGGGCCCGCCAAGAUCUACGAAAAAGUCAAUGGGCACGUAUCUGUAAAAUGUAUGGUUAAAGGGCUAUUUCGCAUUUUUUGCAGAUUCGCACACAUUGGAAUGUGGCUAACUCCUCCUAAGGCUUUCUUCCCACCGACACCAAAUUUGCUCAAGCCGAUCUACAUCCCAUGGCCAUUCAAAGUUGUAAAAAUCAUGCCGCUGCACCCCAUGGUUUACGUUCUAGGGGGCGCCAAAGAUGACCCAAAUAUCCACAUAUUUAAAAGUCUUAUAACUUUUUAUUUUUGUCCUCACUGGCCUCCAUGUUUUCUAGGAUGAUGCAAUGUCCAGCCAUCAACACAUUUGUGAAGGAGUUUUUUCUCUUUAAAAGAGCGCCCCCCCAUGGCAGGAGAAUAAAGUCAAGUUUUUCCUGUUCAUCAUUCAAUGGCUCAAACGCACUGCUCUCUCGGCAAAAGCGAAAGGAGGAGCAACUUGCCAUUUGGAUAUAUCUUAGCUGUGUUUGUGCCCUCACUCAUGGUCCAGACUUUUUUCAAAUAGGACAUGGAGUUUUUCUGCAGCGAGCGUUUUGGUAGAAACUGCGCCUCCCGUUCAUUAUAAUGGUAAAUGACCACAAACAAGUGCGCACACCAUCUUUGGACCUUGAGUGUGACGUGAUCGGGUGGGGGAGGCGGUCGCGCUGGGGGCGGCGUGACACGGCUCGGGCCCGCCAGUGCCCCAACGGGGCCCUAGUUAUUAUUAUUUUUCCUCCCCUUUGAACUGGAAAAUGGCCCACUUCCCACUGGCGAAAACUCAUGAAAUUUGGCAGGACGACCGGGCCUGGUGAAAAAUUUGAUAUUCCGAAGUCGCCCAAACAAGAAAAUGCAAAAUGGCUCCAUAGCGCCCCCUAAGGUGAAAAAUUCACCUGACGCCUGUACGCUUUGUCAAAAUGACACAAAAAUUGACACACACAUGUAUCUCAAUAAGAUCUACAAAAAAGUCAGUGCGGGCGUAUCUGUCAAAUGUACGGUUAAAGGGUUAUUGCGCAUUUUUUGCCGAUCCGCACACAUUGGAAUUUCGCUAACUCCUCCGAAGGCUUUCGUUCCACCGGCACCACAUUUGCUCAGGCCAAUCUACACCCCAUGGCCAUUAAAAGUUAUUCAAAUCAUGACGCUGCACCCCACGGUUUAGGUUCUAGGGGGCGCCAAAGAUAACCCUAAAAUCCACAAAUUUCAAAGUCUUAUAACUUUUUAUUUUUGCCCUCACUGGCCUCCAAGUUUUCUAGGAUGAUGCAAUGUCCAGCCAUCAACACAUUUGUGAAGGAAUUUUUACUCCCCAAAAGAGCGCCCCCCCAUGGCAGGAGAAAAAAGUCCAUUUUUUCUUGUCCCAUAAGGUGAAAAAUUACACUAUUGACUGUCACGCCUGUACGCUUUGUCAAAAUUACACAAAAAUUGACACACACAUGUAUCUCAAUAAGAUCUACAAAAAAGUCAGUGCUAGCGUAUCUGUCAAAUGUACGGUUAAAGGGUUAUUGCGCAUUUUUUGCCGAUCCGCACACAUUGGAAUUUCGCUAACUCCUCCGAAGGCUUUCGUUCCACCGGCACCACAUUUGCUCAGGCCAAUCUACACCCCAUGGCCAUUAAAAGUUAUUCAAAUCAUGACGCUGCACCCCACGGUUUAGGUUCUAGGGGGCGCCAAAGAUAACCCUAAAAUCCACAUAUUUAAAAGUCUUAUAACUUUUUAUUUUUGUCCUCUCUGGCCUCCAAGUUUUCUAGGAUGAUGCAAUGUCCAGCCAUCAACACAUUUCUGAUGGAAUUUUUACUCGCCAAAAGAGCGCCCCCCCAUGGCAGGAGAAAAAAGUCCAUUUUUUCUUGUCCCAUAAGGUGAAAAUACACAUUGUUGACUGUCAUACCUGUAUGCUUUGUCAUAUUGACACAAAAUUUGACACACACAUGUAUCUCAAUAAGAUCUACGAAAAAGUCAAUGCGCGCGUAUCUGUAAAAUGUACGGUUAAAGGGCUAUUUUGCAUUUUUUGCCGAUUAGCACACAUUGGAAUGUGGCUAUCUCCUCCUAAGGCUUUCGUCCCACUGACACCAAAUUUGCUCAGGCCAAUCUACACCCCAUGGCCAUUCAAAGUUUUAAAAAUCAUGAUGCUGCACCCCACGGUUUACGUUCUAGGGGGCGCCAAAGAUGACCCAAAUAUCCACAUUCUUAAAAGAAUCCACAUCCCCCCCCCCCCCCCCAUCCCCCAUCCCCCAUCCCCCAUGGCAGGAGAAACAGUCAAGUUUUUCCUGCCCAUCACUCAAUGGCUCAAUCGCAUCGCUCUCCCGGCAACACCGUAACGAGGAGCAACUUGCCGUUUGGAUAUAUCCUAGCUGUGUUUGUGCCCUCACUCAUGGUCCAGACUUUUUUCAAAUAGGACAUGUAGUUUGUCUGCAGCGAGUGUUUUGGUAGAAACUGCGCCUCCCAUUCAUUAUAAUGGGAAAUGACCACAGACAAGUGCGCACACCAUCUUUGGACCUUGAGUGUGACGCGAUCGGGAGGGGGAGGCGGUCGCACUGGGGGCGGCGCAACGCGGCUCGGGCCCGCCAGUGCCCCAACGGGGCCCUAGUUAUUUUUCCUCCCCUUUGAACUGGAAAAUGGCCCACUUCCCACUGGCGAAAACUCAUGAAAUUUGGCAGGACGACCGGGCCUGGUUAAAAAUUUGAUAUUCCGAAGUCGCCCAAACAAGAAAAUGCAAAAUGGCUCCAUAGCGCCCCCUAAGGUGAAAAAUUCACCUGACGCCUGUACGCUUUGUCAAAAUGACACAAAAAUUGACACACACAUGUAUCUCAAUAAGAUCUACAAAAAAGUCAGUGCGGGCGUAUCUGUCAAAUGUACGGUUAAAGGGUUAUUGCGCAUUUUUUGCCGAUCCGCACACAUUGGAAUUUCGCUAACUCCUCCGAAGGCUUUCGUUCCACCGGCACCACAUUUGCUCAGGCCAAUCUACACCCCAUGGCCAUUAAAAGUUAUUCAAAUCAUGACGCUGCACCCCACGGUUUAGGUUCUAGGGGGCGCCAAAGAUAACACUAAAAUCCACAUAUUUCAAAGUCUUAUAACUUUUUAUUUUUGUCCUCACUGGCCUCCAAGUUUUCUAGGAUGAUGCAAUGUCCAGCCAUCAACACGUUUGUGAAGGAAUUUUUACUCCCCAAAAGAGCGCCCCCCCAUGGCAGGAGAAAAAAGUCCAUUUUUUCUUGUCCCCUAAGGUGAAAAUACACAUUGUUGAGUGUCACGCCUGUACGCUUUGUCAAAAUGACACAAAAAUUGACACACACAUGUAUCUCAAUAAGAUCUACAAAAACUCAAUGGGCGCGUAUCUGUCAAAUGUACGGUUAAAGGGUUAUUCCGCAUUUUUUGCCGAUUCGCACACAUUGGAAUUUCGCUAACUCCUCCGAAGGCUUUCGUUCCACCGGCACCACAUUUGCUCAGGCCAAAUUACACCCCAUGGCCAUUAAAAGUUAUUCAAAUCAUGACGCUGCACCCCACGGUUUACGUUCUAGGGGGCGCCAAAGAUAACCCAAAAAUCCAAAUUUUUAAAAGUCUUAUAACUUUUUAUUUUUGUCCUCACUGGCCUCCAAGUUUUCUAGGAUGAUGCAAUGUCCAGCCAUCAACACAUUUGUGAAGGAAUUUUUACUCCCUAAAAGAGCGCCCCCCCAUGGCAGGAGAAAAAAGUCCAUUUUUUCUUGUCCCCUAAGGUGAAAAUACACAUUGUUGAGUGUCACGCCUGUACGCUUUGGCAAAAUGACACAAAAAUUGACAAUCGUGUAUCUCAAUUAGAUCUACGAAAAAGUCAAUGGGUGCGUAUCUGUCAAAUGUAUGGUUAGAGGGCUAUUUUGCAUUUUUUGCCGAUUCGCACACAUUGGAAUGUGGCUAACUCCUCCUAAGGCUUUCGUCCCACUGACACCAAAUUUGCUCAGGCCAAUCUACACUCCAUGGCCAUUCAAAGUUGUAAAAAUCAUGACGCGGCACCCCACGGUUUACGUUUUAGGGGGCGCCAAAGAUGACCCAAAUAUACAUUACAGUAGACAAAGUAGUUUUGCCCACUGAGUGGCGCCAAAGGGACUUGUCUGUGGAGUCUGUGAGUCACUAUUGGCCGUUUUUGACUACUUUAGAUUUUACCUUUAUAUUUCCUCUUACAAAAUUUUUACCUUGCCUUGCCUGGUAUCAUUUUUUUCAGCACAACCUCACCUGUGUCAAUUUACAGUUAUUUUAUCAUUUUGACAUACUAUAUUUACACAUUGGACCCAAAUUCACACACAAAACAUAAAAUCCGAGUGCAAAAAAGUAACGUUUUUACUGUGAAAACCACAAAUAUGUGUGAUGAACUGUUUUUAAAACUUAAACUUCAAAUAAAAAUUGUAAACUUCAAAACAUAUGCAAAUUUUUAACAAAGAACAUAGUAAUUUACCUCUAUUUACAUCAAAAUGCAGGCAAUGGCCCAGGUGUUCUUUGUAAAAUUAUUUGCAAAACACUGUAUAGUCUCACAAAUGUCACUUUUUAUUUAUGCCACUACAAAAAAACAUGAUGUAAAUGAUGCAUGAUGUAAAACAUGAUGUAAAAAACUUGUGUAGAUCCUCCUCUAUGUCAGUCCAUGUGUAAUUUUUCCAUAAUUCUUUGUUUUUUGCAGCAUUUUUGUUAGUGUAACUGCAGAUUGUGCUGACAGUGUCUAUGGCAAAAAAAAAAAAAAAACUGAAAAUGCCUCAACAUGAACCCCUGGUGGUCUCUGAGGGUGAAACCUGCUAACUGCUGCAGCUCUGUCAGCUUCAGUCUCCCAUGCAGAGCUCGGAGCGCAUGUGUGGCUCUGCACCCUUAGCAGCAUUGCUAACUCCUCAGUAAGGAAAGCCUGCUUCAUGUCAGAGUCUCUAAACUCCAGAAGAAGUCGAUAAAAGUCACUUUCUUUCUAAAAAAACGUCGUUAGGGGGUCUGAAAAGUCAUUGAAUCUAACAACAAAGUCGCUAGGUUUGCAACUACGUGUCCCAGACUGCAUCCCUGCUGAGAGUCCCUCCCUCCCUUCUCAUAUUGCAGGAAGAACGUAAGCGCCCGCCCCUUGUCAAUCAGUCACCAUAUAAUUUUGGAUUGGUUGUUGUGGUGAAGUUUUCCACCAAUAGGAGAGAUGUUGUGGUGUGUUUUUUUUUUCCUUUGGCAAGCCUUUUCCGCCUGUAAGACCUGUCGCUAAUGUCUGCAUGCUAUGUUUUCCUGUCUCAUACAGCGCGAUCGAGCGCCGAACGUGAUCAAAAUAAGCAGAAAACAAGUAUCGCGGACAUAAUUUAUCAUAACUCUGGUUUUAUUUGGCCUAUCAACACAAUUUAAAAACUGGUAUAUAGGUUGAGGUCCUCACUUUUGAGAUAAGUUGAAACGGAGAGUCAACGAGGCUCCGUCUUGCAGCUACAUCCGGUUAAAUAUGUCAUGUGACUUGAACGCACACACACACACACACACACACACACACACACACACACACACACACACACACACACAGACACACACACACACGCACACACACACACUCAGAGUCUGGUUUUUAGCACCUGCAAAAACAUGCUAUUUACAUAUUUGACAAGAAUGCAGAGGCUCCUUUUGCCCCUGAAAAAAAUCAAAUUUCAAACACAACUUGACUGGUCAUUUCUCCAAAAGACAACCAUGAAGCUCCAUCCAAACCUGAAGCAGGCAGUUGAUGCAUGUGUACAGUAACCUGAGGGGAGUGAGGUGACUGCUUCUGAGGAGAACAUGAGCAGUGAAGAUUCACCUUAGAGCUAGAACAGAGACGUGCACAUGAUUAUACAGGGGCAGGGGCUCAAGUUUUUACCAGUUGUUUAUACAAUAUGGAAAUUAAUGUGAAAUUAAAAAACAAAGUAUUAAUAGAAAGGUAAUGACUGUCCUGUGUAGGUGACAUUGAUAUCCAAUAGGCUAGGCACUCACGAGGCUGGCUGUGGCAAGUGUAAGUGAAAGCAACACGCACUGGCAGGAAGAACAGCAAACGCCGAUGAAGGAAAAGGGUCUUUGCAGUGAUGGGCGUUACCAGAGAGGGCGAUGGCCAGAGGACACAAAUGGGACGGGGAGGCAGCGCGUUGGGGGGGGGACGCGACACAGCUCGGGCCCGCCAGUGCCCCAACGGGGUCCUAGUUCUUUGUUUCUUUCUUUCUUCUUUUUCCUCCCCUUUGAACUGGAAAAUGGCCCACUUCCCACUGGCGAAAACUCAUGAAAUUUGGCAGGAUGACCGGGCCUGGUGAAAAAUUUGAUAUUCCGAAGUCGCCCAAACAAGAAAAUGCAAAAUGGCUCCAUAGCGCCCCCUAAGGUGAAAAUUCACACUAUUGACUGUCACGCCUUUACGCUUUGUCAUAUUGACACAAAAAUUGACACACACAUGUAUCUCAAUAAGAUCUACAAAAAAGUCAGUGCGGGCGUAUCUGUCAAAUGUACGGUUAAAGGGUUAUUCCGCAUUUUUUGCCGAUCCGCACACAUUGGAAUUUCGCUAACUCCUCCGAAGGCUUUCGUUCCACCGGCACCACAUUUGCUCAGGCCAAUCU